Molecule: long non-coding RNA, 1135 nt
Organism: Drosophila persimilis
Lineage: Eukaryota; Metazoa; Arthropoda; Insecta; Diptera; Drosophilidae
Exons: 6
Source: RefSeq, a predicted model, not a curated record
UUUUAUUGGGAUAGGUAAGCGGUGUAGAUUAUAUUUACAUACAUAUAUCAACCAUUAGUUGAGGUCGGCGCUGUUCUUAUAAAUCGAAAAUCGACUUGUGAAUCACAAGAAAAAUGGAGACCGAUCGGAAUGCAGUUUUGGAAAGUCUGAACUCGGCUGACAUACCAUAAACUCGCUCCAGUCACCAAACAAUCUUGGCAAAAUAUAUGAGGAUAUCGAGUCCGAUGUGCAAUUCAUUAUUAAGACACGCAUACGUGAGCGUCCAAUAAAGGCCCCCGAAUGUGUUCGCUGCCACCAGUACUUCCAUGGACGCCUUGCCGCAAUAUGCGAAAAGCAACCAGCGCUUUAACCCAUAUAACAAAAUCGUCCGACACCCACGAGCACACAGGCCAGGGCUUCUCCUCUUCGGAGCGACAUUUAUGAAGUGCUCAAGUGUCGUCGUUGGCCGCUCACAUUAGCUGGGGCAAAAAGGAAAUGCAACACGGGCAUGACUGCUAUAAACCCUUAUGGCCUAGUCACACCAGCUUGACACUGCAGCACCGCACGAGAAGCAUCAGCACACCCCAGCGGAGUGACUUAACGCUAAAGAGGAAUUUUAAACGCCUUCAGCACCUUUUGACGGAACGACUACUGCAGGAUGAGAACAGCAGAAGCUUUGUCAGCGCACUGACACUGGGUUGUGGCCACUUCCAGCUGAGUCAUAUCGGUGAGUAUUCAAUGCUCAGCUCUCAGCGGCAGCCCCCCCCCCAUUCAAAUCAGCGAACAAAUUCAUGUCACCGAUAACAAUUCAAUCACUUAAGAGUUCAACACAUUUUGGAAUCGCUUUACAAUGCCCCAAGAGCACCCCAUGGGUCCAACUUGCAAGUUGUACCCGCCGGACACAUUGCGGUGUCGUCCUAGCUCCUUCUGGGCACAACUCUUGCUGUUUCCUCAACAACUUGCAAAUCCAUUCAAUGGAUUCACUUCUGCUUCUGCUUCAACUUUUACUACUUCUUAGAGAUCCGCAUUCUGGUGCUUCAACAGGCGGCUCUUGGCUCCUGAUAAAUCAAUGCUGCAGUGGAUAGGACGAAGCCUCUGGCCUGGCUCUCUGCUGCUCUCGACUUCGUUUUGUCUUCGACUUGAAUGGGGUCGCAAU